Molecule: unclassified non-coding RNA, 258 nt
Filed under: Thanatephorus cucumeris
Lineage: Eukaryota; Fungi; Basidiomycota; Agaricomycetes; Cantharellales; Ceratobasidiaceae
Description: partial ITS1
Source: RNAcentral
AAGGAUCAUAUUGAAUUUAUUAAUGAGGAGUAGAGUUGUAGCUGGCCAUUUUUCUGGCAAUGUGCACACUCUUCUCUUUCAUCCACACACCCCUGUGCACCUGUGAGACAGUUACAAGGUCAUUUUGGAGUUUGGGCAAGUGUGGAGCUUCAUUGCAAAACUUUUCCCUCCUUCUCUUGGCUUUUGCUGUCUACUCAAUUAACAUACAAACUCUAUUAAAUUUAAAACGAAUGUAAUUGAUGUAACGCAUCUAAUACU